This 221-nucleotide long non-coding RNA is filed under the name Elaeis guineensis (African oil palm). RNAcentral describes it as "long non-coding RNA (EGUI_LNC009809)". Lineage: Eukaryota; Viridiplantae; Streptophyta; Magnoliopsida; Arecales; Arecaceae. The record is from RNAcentral.
CCAUGCAGUCUCCCCUACUAGCCUCCCCUCCUGAUCGUACUCCACCAUAACCUGAUGUUGGCGGUUCUAUAUAUGCGGCAUGCAUGUAGGACCGUGAAAUGUCCUACUGGAUGAUGCACCUACAAUGAAAAUAUAUUAUGAAUAUAUAAGAGUAUGUAAUAACUAUACAAUAAAUAAAUAAAUAAAUAAAUGAUUGACACAAUGAAAACCUACUCUCACUG